AUUUACAUACCAAACUAAUAUGAACAUAGCUUAUACACAUUAAAAUUUACAUCAUUAUUAAGCCAAAUCUCAUGGCUAAAUACAUAUCAAACACAUAUGCAUAAAUAGCCAAAUGUCACUUAUACACUUCAUAAACCAACUAGCCUAUACAUGCCACAUAACCAAAAUCACAAAGCUUUUGAAAUACCGAAACGAUAGCUGGAUAGUGUGAUGAAAUCUCCGACGACUUCCAACUCGAGCAAGCAUCCGAAACACUAUAAACAUAGGAAAGAAAACAAAGUAAGCUAUACAACUUAGUAAGCUCGUAUGAUAAUAUAGUCAACUUAUCAAAUAACACAUAUUAAGUAUUUACAAAUUACAAUGUUACUCAUUUGCUUUCACCGUUAUACCAUGAAUCCAUGACCAUAACUAACCAAGGGUCUCACAAGCUUAUUCAUUUCUAUGUUCAUAUAGAUCUAAUAUAUUCUCACCAAUUCAUUCACAUUUACAUAUGCAUAAGAAAUUUAAGAUAUCCCAUAUUCAAUCCAAUAUUCAUUACAUAUUCAUAAUCAAUAUAACCAUAUGGAUUUCUUAGAAUUAUCCACUUACUCAUCAUGUGAAAUUUGAUACCCUCAAUAAGCAUUUAUAUAAAUCAAGCACUUGCAUAAACUCAAACCUUUCCAUGUAAUAUACACGAGCUCACAUCUAUUUAUCAAUCUUCUUUCAUUCAAUAUAUGUAUAAGUAUCGUACGUACCUGUACCACUUAUUUCAUUUACACUUUUAUUCUCGUCUUGACUUUGCCCGUCGAACCAUUCGGAAUUGCUAAGGAUUCUCAGAAAUCUCGUAUAACUCGCACAAUGUCAUAUCCCAGAUAUGGUCUUACAUGCUAUCACAUAUCGAUGCCAAUAGCCAGCUAUGGUCUUACACGAAUCUCAUAACGAUGCCAAUGUCCCAGACAUGGUCUUACACGAAUCUCAUAUCGAUGCCAAUGUCCCAGACAUGGUCUUACACGAAUCACAUAAUGAUGUCAAUGUCCCAAACAUGAUCUUACACGUAAUCACAUCAAAGUAUCCUAAGCUAUUCCUAAUGUUCGUACGAGACUUUCGGAUGUCGUAACUUUGUCGACUCAUGCUCGUACUCAUCCAAUCAACAUUCAAUUCAAUUCAAUGAUAAAUGAACAUUUAGAACACAAUUUAAGAACAUUAUUUAACAUACAAACUUACCUCGUUCGUUGAAACGACGAAUUAGGUCGACUAAUCCAAUACGUAGUUUUUCUCUUGUUUCUAGGUCCAAAUCUUAUUUUUCUCAAUAUAUAUAAUAACAAAAUUUACUUAUUUAAUCACUAAUUCACUCAAUUUAACAAAAUUUACACAUUAGGGAAAUUGUACACUUUUGCCCUUAUACUUUCACAUUUUUGCAAUUUGGUCCUUAUCACAUAAAAUCACAAUUUCUUGAAAUUAAACACAAACCCAAGCUAGCCAAAUUUUUAUUAUUGCCAUAACAACCCACAUUUUUCAUUUAUUCACACUUUUACCACACGAUUUAUCAUUUUUCUCAAUUCAAUCCAAAAUUGACACUUUUACUCAAAAUCACUUUACCAAACAUGUAAACUAUCAUCAAAAUUUCGUAUUUCAUCAUCAAAAAUCAAUUAAAUCAUGUAUUUAGAAAUGACUACUAUCAAAAUCUUUAACAGUUUCGAAAUUGGAGGUACGGGCUAGCUAGAUUCCGAAGCAACGAUCUAAAAAACGUAGAAAUUAUUAAAAACCGAGCAAAAAUUACUCACCAAAUAAAGCACAAAACUUGGCCUAUUGAAGCUUCCAUGGCUGUUCAUCUUUCUCAUUUUCGGUGGAAGAUGAUGAAUAGAAAGAUGAAAUUUGGUUUUAUUUUAUUUAUUAUCAUUAUUUACCUUUUUACUAAAUUAACCUUUAAAAUUAAUCAAAUUUACACAAAUGCCAAACCAAAUAUCAUCCACUAACUCACAAAUGGAUUAAUUAUCACAUAAGGACCUUUACUUUAAUUUUCUAUAGCUAUUUGACACUUUUAGCUAAUAGAACACAAGUUUUAUACUUUACGCAAUUUAAUCCUUUUUAUCGAAUUAACCACUUAAACGGUAAAAUUUCUUUACGAAAUUUUCACACGAAUAUUCUAUCAUACUGUAAACAUUAAUAAAAUAAUAAAAUAAUUAUUUUGACCUCAUAUUGUUGUCCCAAAACCAUUGUUCCUACUAACCCUAAAAUUAGGUUGUUACACUUUUCCACUGCUCAACCAUUGAUGACCAACCGCCGCAGGCAUCGGGACGCCGUCGCAGCCACCAGCAUCGCUGUGUCUGGUGAUGCAGGUGCGACACCCUUACAGCACCCCGAGCCGAUUCGGCUACUGCCGAUUCAGUCUAGGUCAUUGACGAUCCAACCAGUCCAGUCUAGCCACUGGUAGGACAAUCGGCCCGGUUCGACCAGUUUUUGGGUCUUGGUCUCGGUUUUGGGCUCCCUAGCCCAAUUUACGAUCUUAGGUCCAAUUUUCAAGUUAAAUUACCCAUUGGGCCAAUUGUCUGACUUGAAAAUUAACUUUCAAAAAUAUCAUAUUUAUUUUAAUUGGUUUGAUUAAUUUAAUUUUACAUGAUCAAAAUUAAUUUUUUCAAAAAUCAAUUAGAUUUUCCAAAUUAAUUUUUUAAGAAAAUUCUUUAAUCAAAUUCUCUAGUUGAACAAUUCUUACGACCACCUAAUUUACUUCCACAUCGAAUAAAUCAACUCAAUUAAAUUAUUCUCAAAGUCGUAGAAUUUAAUUCUGAUUCAAAUGCAGUCUGAUCGAGUUUUUUUUGAGCUAGCGAAGGGACCAAUCAAACAUAUACAAUUAGACUCUAGUGAUUGCAAUUAUGUCCGGAAGCAUCGUUCCGAUAAUUCGCAAUUACUUAAUCAUGGAGUCAGUCCACAAGAAGUACCAUAAUUGAAAACUUCUUAUUGUAUACUCUUUACAAAAGCAAUUCAUCCGACUACUUUGUCCAAUGACCUCGUCAUGUGUGUGUUACCCUCAUAUGAUAUCUUUGAUUCCUUUGAGUUAAAUCCGUUCACUCAAUACAAUCCUAUUUUAUCUCAUUUUCACCAAUGUGUCUUCUUAAUAAUUAAUAUGAUCACUGUCAACAAAUGACUGUGAUAAAUUGCUCAUUCGAGAACAAGCAACCCGUGGCCAUGUUCCAUAUUUAUCAAUCCACACAAUGCCAAUGAGAGGAUAUCAUUAACUUUUUAAUUGAGCUAUGAACUUCAUUAUUGCUAGUAAAGCCAGGCCAUACACAAGUAAUGUAUCAACAUACCAACUAUGGGCCCGAUCAUCUUUAGAGCAUAAGCCUCCACUUAUAUCAAAGCAAAGGAGUUGCAUACACAUAGUUAGUGAUUAACUCAAGAUUUAGGUAAAUCACAACAUGAACGUCAUAAGUGAAUUAAUUCACAAACGGAUUCAGAAUUAAUUCAUUUUGGGUCUAGUCCAAUGUAUCAUUCUACCAAUGAAUACGUCAAUGUCUCUACUCGUGGAGUCAACUGCUCCGAUAGCCAAUACUAAUCAUCUCCCAAUUGGAAUUGUAGAUGACAUGAUAAUCCUUUUCAGUAUUUGAAUCAAAUAAUCACUUUAAUUCUUUUACUUGAUUACGGACUCAUCUAGAUUAUCUACUGAAGUAAGUUGUCUUCCUCGUAAUGUAAACGUUCUUUAGUUUGAACUUUAGACAAUCAAUGAGCUAAUAUUUGUUUGUCACAAUUUCGCUAUACAUGUAAAAUAUAAAAGACAGAAAAUUCAAAAGACAUAAUAGUGAAAUGUGAAAUUAACUUUAUUUAUUUAUUUAUCGUUCAAAUAAAUAGAAAACAAUUACAUGUUUUGUAACACCCCUUACCCGUAUUCAAUACCGGAAUAGGGUACAAGGCAUUACCAAAACACAUGCACUUGUAAACGUAUUUAACCGAGUUAUAAAAUUUCAUCUAAAUUAAAACUUUCAAAAUAAUUAACAUGCUCCUAUAACUUUUCACAGUAUAUCCUCAAAAUGUUAUAAUCAUAAUAAUUAGGGCUUACGAGACCCGAUACAUACUCAUGCAAUUCAAUGCUUCAUUUCCAUUUCCUUCAAUUCGCAAUUUCUCAAGCUCACGAUUUAGAUCAUAUCACUAGCAAUUUCCAUUUAAUUCACAUACAAUUCAAUGACAUCAAGUUCAACACUAAUACGUAUUUACCAUUUAACUCAAUGUUUAUUGAUUAUAACAUUCAAUAACACAUUUAUGAAAUUCUCAAUUUUGUAAUGAAAAUAUCACUUUAGCUUGAAUAACAACAUCGUCCUGAUAUAAAUACACUACCACUUAUCCAUUUACUUUAAUUCUUUUGGGCCCAUUUGUCACUUACCAUCCUUAAUCAAAUUAGGGAACGGUUACAGACAAUUGAGUACUUCACUUUCACUUUGCCAUAGAAUAACUAUGGUCUUACGUAUGAUCACUUAUCACUUGUCCCUGAUCAGAUAAGUGUAGCUAGGCUACCACUUAUCACUUUGUCACUUGGUCAGAUAAGUGUAGCUAAGGCUACCACUUAUCACUUUAUCUCUUGAUCAGAAGUACUCAAAUCCGGCGUUCCGCUUAAUUUGAUCAUUUAUUCGAUUUUUCACAUUUUUAUUUUAUUCUCAUUUCAAAAAUGAAUACAUUUCAUCAUACAUUGUAUAAUUCAUGAAAUUAACAUUUAAUCAUUAAAUUUCAGCCAUAUGAACUUAUUAUUUCAUUAUCUUUCCACACUUGUUUCUAUGCACAUCACACAAGAUAUAAGCAUAUCAUUCAACCAUAGUUGCAAGCUAGUGUAUUUAAACAUAACUCUUUUUGGAACUAACCACACGAUAAACCAUUUCAAUGCAUAACUUAUAAAUUUAACGUGGCAUAGUCUAGCCACUACUUGGCCAAAGUCUAAGCAAAUACACCAAAUAUGUUAGCCAAAUACACGUAUAGCAUAAGCAUUAUAAGCAUGGAUGAGCACAACAUUUAUUCAUGUAUCAGGCUUACCAACAUGUGUUAAUUCAUAAACCAUUCAUGACAUUAUUUCAUGCCAAAUCAUAUACCAAAUAUACCAUACACACAUACUAUGAAACUUUUAUUUUCACACAUGAGCUUAAACCAUGACCAAUAAUGCACAAAUAUAAGCAUCAUUUCUAUUUCAUCGUUUAUCAAUUAAAAUCAAGCAUAUGACCAAUUAUACACAAAUCAUUCAUAUAUUUCCCAAUUUUCCUCCUCCUCCUCUCCAUUCCACAUCCUUAACGUGUAUAACAUACUUAAACAACAUUAGCUAUAAUUUCACUAUUCACUCACAUGUAUAUUCAAAACUGUUUAUCCGAGUCAGAGUCACUAAAUUAUUUUUAUCUGGAGCUACAGAGCUCCAAACUAAGAUCUGUUAAUUUUCCCUGAAACUAGACUCACAUAUCUUCAAACCAUAAAAUUUUCAGAAUUUUUGGUUCAGCCAAAUAGUACAGUUUAUUCUUUAAAGUUUCCCCUGUUUCGCUGUCUGACAGUUCCAACCACUCUUCACUAAAAAUUAAUUAUAUCAUUGUACAGAAUUCGGAUGAUGUUUUUGUUUGUUUUUUUCUAAAAAUAGACUCAUUAAGGAUUCUAACCAUAUAAAUUAUAACUCAUAAUCAUUUUUUUAAAAUUUUUAAUGAUUUUCCAAAGUCAAAACAGGAGAACCCGAAUUCAUUCUGACCUUGUCUCACAAAAUCUAUUAUAUCUCAUGAUGUACAAUUCCAUUGCUCACACCGUUUCUUUUAUAAGAAACUAAACUCAAUAAGCUUUAAUUUCAUAUUUUAUUCAUCCUCUAAUUCAAUCUCUAAAAUUUUUGGUGAUUUUUCAAAGUUACACUACUGCUGCUGUCCAAAACUGCUUUAGUGCAAAAUGUUGAUUUCCAUUUUGCCCCAAAUUUCACAGUUUAUACAAUUCGGUCCUUUCUCAAUUAACCCCUCAAUUAAUCUAAUUUUCUCAAUUACUACUUUACCUAGACAUUAUAAGUUGUUACACAACUAUUGAAAUUCAGAAUUUCCACAUAUAACUCUAUCUUCAAACUCUUUUACUAUUAGGUCCCAAACAUUCACUUUCUAUUCAAUUCUUUCAAUAAAAUCAGCAUAUGAACAAUUUAAAGCUCUAAUUGCAUGCUAAAUCAUCAUAUAAUUCCAGCACAUAUUCAUAUCAACUUUCAACUUCUUUCAUAAAAUCAAAAACUACUGAAUUUAACAAGUGGGCCUAGUUGUAAAAGUCAUAAAAAUACAAAAAUUUCAAGAAAUAGUCAAGAAUUGAACUUACUUGUAAUAAAAAUAUGAAGAAUCAGCUUGAAGAAGCC
RNAcentral lists this long non-coding RNA (6316 nucleotides) under Gossypium raimondii (Peruvian cotton). RNAcentral describes it as "long non-coding RNA (GRAI_LNC001443)". Lineage: Eukaryota; Viridiplantae; Streptophyta; Magnoliopsida; Malvales; Malvaceae. The record is from RNAcentral.